RNAcentral lists this ribosomal RNA (460 nucleotides) under uncultured bacterium. RNAcentral's name for it is "partial 16S ribosomal RNA". It matches the Rfam family "Bacterial small subunit ribosomal RNA", at positions 338 to 795 of the family's 1533-position model. The record is from RNAcentral.
CCUACGGGAGGCAGCAGUGAGGAAUAUUGGUCAAUGGACGAGAGUCUGAACCAGCCAAGUAGCGUGAAGGAUGACUGCCCUAUGGGUUGUAAACUUCUUUUAUAAAGGAAUAAAACGAGGCACGUGUGCCUUUUUGCAUGUACUUUAUGAAUAAGGAUCGGCUAACUCCGUGCCAGCAGCCGCGGUAAUACGGAGGAUCCGAGCGUUAUCCGGAUUGAUUGGGUUUAAAGGGAGCGUAGAUGGGUUGUUAAGUCAGUUGUGAAAGUUUGCGGAUCAACCGUAAAAUUGCAAUUGAUACUGGCAGUCUUGAGUACAGUUGAGGUAGGCGGAAUUCGUGGUGUAGCGGUGAAAUGCUUAGAUAUCACGAAGAACCCCGAUUGCGAAGGCAGCUUACUAAACUGUGACUGACAUUGAUGCUCGAAAGUGUGGGUAUCAAACAGGAUUAGAUACCCUUGUAGUC